CAAAUAUCAAAUAUAUAUGUAUAUUACAGUUACUAACUUGAGAGUGUAUAUAGAGACUGUACAUAGACAAAAUGUUUUAUUGCUUUUAAUUAGAAAGUAUAUGCUGUGUUUUCUUUUUUUGUGUUUAAUAUUUAAACAGUUUUUAAAAACUUUUACAAACGACAGGAAUUUGAACAAGAAUGUCAUGGUAUGAAAUACUUAAAGGAACACUACAGUCACCAGAAAAACUACAGCUUUUUCUAUUUGUUCUGGUGAGUAUAAUCAUCCCCUUCAGGCUUUUUGCUGUAAACACUGUUUUUUCAUAGAAAGUGCAGUGUUUACAUUACAGCCACUGAUCACUCCUAACAUGACUACCAGAGGUGCUUCCUGGGGCAGUGCUGCACAGUGCGCCAUGCAGUGUCUUCCCCCUCUGCAUGGAGACACUGAACAUUCCUCAUAGAGAUGCAUUGAUUCAAAUCAUCUCUAUGAGGAGAUGCUGAUUGGCCAGGGCUCUGUUUGAUUUGUGCUGGCUCUGGCCUUGAUCUGCCUCCUUGAAAGUCUCUUGAUUGGCUUUGAUCAACACUUCUGAUGAUGUCAGUCAAGCAGGCAGAUCAGGGGCAGGGCCAGAAACAGCAGAGUUGAAUAAAAGUAAGGCUUUACUAUAUGUAAGAGGGUGGGAGGGGGGAGCUAGAUGAUAUGUUAAACAUUAUAGGGUCAUGAAUACAUGACCCUAUAGUGUUCCUUUAACCUUUUGUCAUAAAGAGGUUGACAUCAAGUGAUCUUUUACUUGGAUCUAGACUGGCAAAUGGCCAAAUAUGGCCAAACGUUAUUCAAUUAAGUAAUUUAAGUUAAAUUAAAAUUUAACUCAUUUUAGUUUUUGGUAUUUGUUAGAUCACCAUUAACUUUUAACUUUGGUUCACCAAAUCUCAACUGUACAUCUAUUCAGUAAAAUGCAGCAACUAUAACACUGGCACAUUAAAGGACCACUAUAGGCACCCAGACCACUUCAGCUUAAUGACGUGGUCUGGGUGCCAGGUCCAGCUAGGAUUAACCCUUUUUUCUGUAAACAUAGCAGUUUCAGAGAAACUGCUAUGUUUACCUAUGAUUUAAUCCAGCCUCUAGUGGCUGUCUCAUUGACAGCUGCUAGAGGGCUUCCGCACUUCUCACUGUGACGCCAGCGUCCAUAGGAAAGCAUUGAUAGAGAGCUCCCCACCCGGCGCUGGAGAAAGAGGUAAGUUUAACUCCUUCCACCCCCUAGAGCCUGGCGGGAGGGGGACCCUCAGGGUGAGGGCACCCUCAGGGCACUAUAGUGCCAGGAAAACAAGUAUGUUUUUUUCCUGGCACUAUAGUGGUCCUUUAAGGCUAAAAUAGCUGUACUGAAAAAAAUCUACAGCUUCCCUAUAUUCACAGCUUGACGAUUAUAGUCUGAAUUUUACAAGAUUGUUUUCAAAUCACUGUUUAAUAGUGAAUUGAAAACCUGAAUAGUGAAUGAAGGUGAAAUGAAUCGUGCACUUAUGCUGGACUCCCCCUUUCUAUUGGCUGUUCCUCUGACACAGUAGUGUCAGUUUUCCAAGUAUAGGUAUGUUGGAGUGGGGAUGUCUAAUAUAGUCCAGAAACCUACAUAGACUGUAUAGCUUGCAGCUGUUUAGAUCAGAGACAGAUGGAACGGUGCGACUGAAAACAAAUAUAAGAAAAGCUUAAACCCUUUACAUAACAACCAGAAAAUGAAAGCCAACAUUUGCUAACUUUAAUGUGAAUGGAAUAACUUGCUGAUAGAGCUCUUUUGUCUUGUGUGUACAAGGUGAUCCUGGUUAUUGUUGGUAUUUUUGAAAUGCACCUAGGAUUAAAAAACAGGUUAUUGCGUAUGAACAGAAAAACGCCAUGCUGCUCCAAUCCGCAUCACCUCAUAGAGAUGCAUUGAUUCACUGCAUCUCUAUGGGGAAACAUGGAGAAGCUGAAUGGCAGUGUUGCACGUUGUGCAGCACUGAUCCAGGAAGCACCUCUAGUGGCCACUAGAGGUGUUACUAGGAUGUAAUGUAAACAAUGCCUUUUCAUUAAUAAGCCUGCAGGGACUGACUAUACUCACCAGAACAACUAUGGUGACUAUAGUGUCCCUUUAUUUAGACUGCUCCCAACAUAACAACCGCUGAUGAUCUCAAUCGAUCUGAUGCUUCAUUAUAGCAUGGAGAUGCUGAACAUUGGUUCUGGAACCAUUAUAGGACAGCACCAGGAAGACCCUCUAGUUGUAAGUGACAGCCGUUAGAGGUUGCAUUAGUAAGCAAUGUUAAUACUUUUCACGGAAUGAUUACCGUUUGCAUUGCUGGGACUACAGGAACAGUCUCUUUGCACCAGAAGCAUUACAUUAAGCUGUAGUGGUUGUAGUGCUUAGAGCAGGCUUUCCCAAACUCUGGUCCUCCAGAUGUUGCUGAUUCUAUGAAUGAAAUAGGCUGAGGAUAAUGGGUAAUCUAGUUCAGCAACAUCUGGAGGGCCGGAGUUUGGGGAAGCCUGGCUUAGAGUGUGAAAGCAUCAUGGAAGCUGUAGUUUUAAAAUAUCUGCAGAUCUACCUCUUGGGUAGAGAAUAGGUAUCCUGCUUUUAAGCUAUUAUGAGACUUUCGGCAACAGUAAUUUACAUUGCUUAACUUAGUUUAUAUUUCUAUAUUUGAUUCUUCACUGAUUCAUUAUUGAUAAUACAUCUGUUACCAAAAUAUCUUAUGCCCUUCCUCUGUUAGUAUUUAAACAGCUACAUCAUAUUUUGCUUAGGAAAGAGUAAUUUAGCAUUUGAAAUUGUGGAAGUAUUUUAUACAGUGGUUAAUUGUAUCCUCAAAAGAAGAAAAUCACUUUAUGAAUUACACUGCAUAUUGCUGUUUUAGUGGAACAGUACAAGUUGCAGUAAUGCCAUCAUAGGAAUGCAUUAUAGAGAUAAAAAUAUAUAUAUAUUAUUCAUUAAAUGUAAAAAAAAAAAUAAGUUUUUAAGAGACACCACUGAAUUAUCUGUGCAAACCAUUCUAUUUUGUAGGAACCUGGAAGUGAUUGAGAUUCUCAGCGGAAGUUCAAUUCAGGUUCCUUAAACUCAUGCUUGUUGCACUAGUCAAUAUUCUAUCCACUGUGCAGUUUCAUUCAUGCUUUUUCAUGAAUGAAACCUUUGAACGCUAUGUCUGCUAUAUAUAUACAGGCUCUCACAGAAAGCUCAGAAAACCUGAACUACUUGUAUGACAUUUUCGCUCACGCACUCCCUCUAUAAGAAAGAAAAUCACCUAUCACCAAAUUUAUUAGACUACUUAUGUCAUAUUUACUGCAAUAGAUUAAUUUCCUACACACAGGUUAAACGAGUAAUAUGUCCAGGUAGUAUGCUUAUGCUGGAACCCCUUUUCUCCCACGGAAAGUACAUGAUCGUCUGCAGAAUGUGGAGCCUAGUAGCCUAUUCUACUUUAAAGGUACCUUCCAAGCGCCAUAACUUUAUCUCAAUGACAUAGCCAGAAACCAGGGGACAGAGCAGACAGGAGACGUCUUCACAUUUUAGGUGUUAAAGUAUUGGUAAAUGGAUUAAUUCCUUAAAGGAACACUCCACACUAAAUGAAAAAAUAAAUAACUAUUGAGUAGUUAUAACGCCAAUGAAAACAUGCAUGCUUUUUAACAUUGGGGGUACAACAAAAAGUAGCUUGCAAAAGUCGCAGUUCUUAUGCUUGCAGCCUUUGCAGCUGCUUCUCAGCCAAGAGUGCGCGCAGCUUGACCAAGACCACCUAGCAUCAUAACAGUAGUUUAGAACCUCCUGCUUUGGAACUGCUGUCCUGAACUAAGCCCUGCAACCACAACCACUACAGGAUGCUGUAGUGGUUGUGGUGCUUGGAGUGUUACUUUAAUGUGCAAAUAAUGAAAAGGGCGAAAUAAGUGUUGAUUGAGGCACACCGAUGCUGGUGUUAAAUUCAGGCAUAAUAAAAUUUAUAUAUAAACAAUUAUAUAUUUUAAUAUAUAUAUAAAUUAUAAAUAACCUGAAAGCGUUAGGAUGGAAAAGACUUAAGUUUAAAAAAAAAAAAAAAAAAAUAAUCUUGUAAUAUUUUGUAUUCCGAUCUUCCAUUUACUGCACUAUUUGUAUGGACUGUCUUGUACAUUUAAUUGCACUGUGAUAUUUUAUUUAGUGUAUUUUUAUUCAUUGCAGUACAUCGGAUUAUAUACAGAUAGUAACUGCAUAUAAAAUGUAUUCCUGAAAAUCUGACAGCUAUUUUGCUUUCAUAAAGCAGAAUUUAAACCAUCUAUUUUGUUUUUGAAGAGUUACUUUAAAAUAAAAUCCUACUUGCU
Pelobates cultripes (western spadefoot toad) is the source of this 4275-nucleotide non-coding RNA. Lineage: Eukaryota; Metazoa; Chordata; Amphibia; Anura; Pelobatidae. The record is from the annotation of a GenBank genome assembly.